GGAGGGGUGGAGACGAAACCAAAGGAAAAAGGUCCCGUGAUCGCGGUAAAGAAGCCCGCCGUGGCCAAACCCACUAAGGUCCCCGUCGCCUCUCUGACCUUCGGGGAGACGAUCCAGAGGCACCCGUUUCCGUACGACAUACGUAAGCCGACUUUAAAAAAAAAACGUGUCCGAUUGUCUUUAAUUUCUUUAACGUCUUUCUGUAUUUAGUGUGAUAUUUUUCUUUCUCUCCUUCACAGCGUGCGUCAAGGUGAAGACAUGCUUGUCGCGGAAGUUUGCUGCCAAUGGCCAGAAGCAGCUGUUCCUCAGCAACCUGCCGUACUUCGACGAGGUCAGCUACACCGAGGACGACCUGGUGCAGCUGCUCACGCCGUUCGGGUUUCAAUACGCGGAGGACAACAUCUACGUGCUCCCUCAGACGGGCAUGGCCUUCGUCUUCAUGUCUGAAGUGAAGCACGCGUUGGACCUCACAAAGUCCGCCGCGAGGAUGGGCCUUUACUUCAAAGGGAUGAGACUCGGCUGCAAUGUUCUGGCAAACAGCUUUAAGCUGACACCGAUGUGGUUUUAUAAAACAAUCAUGAAGCUGAUGCGUUUUCGGGUGAUCGACGAAGGAUCCAAAAUUGUCCUGAUCAAGAACAUUUCCUGGAGCGAGACCGCGGAGCUCAGAACGUCUCUGAUGAAGAUCCAGUCCGUCAGGAACUUCUUCCCUCUGCUCAACAAGGUGUUCGUGGAGUUCGACAGCGUCUGCAACGCGGACCGACUCGGCGUCUGGUACAGUCUUCUGAGACGCCCCCCGGCCCACAAGCUCUACAGGCUGAAGGUGCCGCACCUCGGCCACGUCCUCCUGCAACCGCCGAGACAUCCCGAGAACGCGAUGCCUCCCAGCAAGGACGCCGUUGCCGGGGCGACGCGCCCCACCAUGGAGUUCGGCAUCCCGCCGGACAGCGUGGGGCCGUUUUGGGUGACGCUGACGCAGCACCCCUUCCUGUUCCCGACCAGGUGUCCGUGGUUCGUCAUCCCGAAUUACCUGACGGUCGCAUUUCAGGAGGACAUCGAGAAGGCGAGCCGCGGCGCCAUGUUCCCGACCGUCAUGUUGACCCGUUUGCCGGCGGGCCACUACCAGCACCGGGACGUGGCCAAGCUGGUGUGGCGCUACUUCCCCAAAAAGAACCUCCAGUCCCUGUACUACAACGUGGUGGUCUUGCCUCUGCAGAGGAGGGCCUUCGUGUUUUUCGUCGAUUGGAAUUCGUGCUGGAAAUUCGUCCGCGACCACACGAGGCACCCCGUUUGCGUGAAGCUCUACCCGCUCACGGUGCACUUCGUCUUGGAGCACAUCCACCCGGCUACCAGCGAGGAGAUGAUGUACUCCUCCAUGAUGAAGUGGAGCAACGCUGGAGUUCCUGAGCCGGCGUCUCUGGAGGAGCGGCUGCUCUGCGUGGAGACCUCCGAGACGUCCGUGGACAUCAUCGCGGUGGUCAUGGAAGUGGUGGCGUCCAUCGCGCCCUUCGUGGGCUUCCUGCCGCUCGCCAACCGGAUAUGCAUCGAGAUGGCGGACUCCGCCGCCGUAGCCCUGGUGGUGGAGAAAUACAAAACUUUGCCAAAGGGCUGCUUUAAAAACCCGAAGGCUUGUAUGAAGAACCUUAAACUUCGUCUCCAAGACACGAGCGACAUCAAAAACUUUGAGCCGAACCCCUUCAAGAUCAGAACCCCGCCCUUCUUGUCUGAACUACCGAGCGUCGAGUCACAGCCUGCUCGGCCAACAGGCGGCGCUGUCGAGCCCGUCGCAGCCGGACCGAGUGCCGGCGCCGCCGCGAGCGACCUUUCCCUAAAGAAGGACGACGAGACACCGGGAACGGACUCCACUUUGGUUCCCGAGGCCAACGCUGAUGCAUCCAAAGAAGGAGAAGGAGCAGAAAAGAGGGAAGAGGAGGAGUCGUCGUCGUCGUCGUCGUCGCCGACGACCUCGGAAUCCGCGGUCGCCACGGCGCCCGUUCCAGAGAAACAAUUUGCGGAAUUUCCCCAGAUUAACGAGGACAUAUUCAAGGCCAUCACGGUGGCGGUUCGCAACCACCGGCUCACCCGAGAGAGCGGCUCGAAGAGCGAGGAGAAGGAGAUCCCCGGCAAAAGCGGCACGAGCUCUCGACCGGCAACGGCUGAAGACGCGCCGCAAAGAAAGGCUCGGGAGGGUUCCACGGACGGCGUCGCUUCGUCGGACGCCCGUCGGUUCGAUGAGCUGAACUUCAACAUGGACGACUUUGUCACCGUGGACGAAGUCGGCGGCGACGCGGGCGACAAGAAGCCCGAGCCUCACGGCGCCUCCUCGUCCAAGCAGUCCUCCAGGACGAGAAGUCAGAGGCAAAGCUCCACGAGGUCUUCGAAAGACUCCAAGGGCGCGGCCUCUUCCUCGUCCAAGUCGAUCAAAGACGCCGUCUCUUCGGGCUUCGCGUCACCGAAGAAGUCCAAGCACUCGUCUGAGCGGUCCAGAUCCCCGAUCAAACCCUCGGCCUGUAAGACCUCCCCCUCUUCUUCUUCACCGUCCACUGAAAGCCCCUCCUCCGCCCUCGGUGAGAAAACGCAACGCGGCAAAACACCACCUUCGGCCAAAGCGUCCCCCGGCGCCGGUACCCGCUCAUCCUCCGCUGCGCGCGAACCGAAAGGCGCGGCGACGGUCUCCACAGAAAGUCGCCCCGAGCUGCUUCUAGAAGAUAAAGACGCCGUGUGCACCGCGGCAACGUCUGACCACGACGUGCCCGCGGAAAGCGUCGCUGCGGAAACUGUUGCGUCAUCAGAGAUGCCUCCACCUCAACGGGAACAGGAAAAGGGGUUGGAGUUGAGCCACGCCCAGUUGAGUCCGGAGAUUUCCAUUAAUGCCAACAACACGCUUGAAGAGCAGGAGAAACUCCAAGAGGAAAGGAAAGAAGAAGACGUUGAAGAGGUUGAAAGUUACCAAAUUCUCGAUUCACUCGACGGUCAGACGGAGGAGCCGAUGGAUGAAGGGGACCGAGCCGGCGGCUCGGAAGCCCAGCCAAGUGCACCUAAAGAAGGCCGGGCUUCGCGCGACGAAAGGGUUCAGGUCUCGGAGAGUGUCGACGGUGAAGUCGAAGCCUGCCCGCCGGAGUGUGAGGAAGCAGAGAUGGGCCGUUCUCUCCAAGCGUCGGACGGCGUCGCCGAAGGCGAAGCGUCCGCAGGUCCGCAGGACAAUCCCCUGGUUCAAGAGGACGCCGUGAAGCAGACGUCUGAGGAUCACGAGACUAGUAGUGUAGACACUUUGCAGGUGUCAGAUGCAGGUAGUGAACACACAGAUGGGAAUAAGAGAAAAGAGGAGGAAGUCCAAGACCAAAUGCUUUCUGCAGAGCCCUGCAAUACCUCCAAAGAGGUGGAUAAUUCAAAUGAAGACCCCGACAACGAAGACGCGUUAAAAGACCCACAACACGGUGAUGUUGCUGAACAAGAAACCUUUGAGAUAUUGGAUUCAAUUGACGAUCUUAAUUCAGCGGAAGAGGAGAGCCAGAACCUCAACAUCUCCAAAGAAGACAUUGGGGUCGUGGAGGAAGAGGAAGACGCGUAUCGGGUAAUUGAUUCUGUGGGAGAUCGGCCGACGACGACAGAGUCCGAGACCGGCAGCAAAGGGAAAAGAAAGGGGGGGAGGGCGGCUGCUAGAAAGAGGAGUGGCCCCUCCACCGCCUCCAAAAGUGAAGAGAAGAAGAAACCCGAUGCACGGACGAAGGCAGAGGUCACGGAGGACGCGGUGUAUAAGAUCGUGGAUUCUGUCGAGGACGAACCGGUUCAAGAAGCGCCCGCCCCAGAAACCGGCAGGCGGAGGAGUGCGAGAGUAAAGAAGGAGGAUAAAGUCCCGUCGGAUCUCGCGGAAGCGUCCGUAAAACCAGAGGAGGCCACCAGGGGGAAAAGGGGAAGAUCGGCGAAGAAAGAGGCUCCGAGUGAGAAAACCGAAACGGAGGACGCGCCGCCGAGGCGGCGGCAGACGCCUACCAGAGAGUCACGGGAGCGGAGCGGGGAGAAGACGCCAAAGCAGGAAGAGAGGGCGCCUCCUCCAAAAGAGAACGCGGCGGCAGUCGACUCCAUCGAGGACGAGGUAGCUCAGGAGGAUCGGCCCCCUGCGAGAAAAAGGGGAAGACCAAAGAAAGACGCUAAGACCACAAAGAAAAGUCUUGGCGCCGCUGCAAAGAAGGGCGACAAAGACGCGUCGAAGAAUGAAGAGGAGGCGACGUAUCAGAUCCUUGAUUCUGUGGGCGGCGAGGCGGUGGAGGAACCUUUGAAAAACGUCGACCAGCCAACUGAGAGGAGUGAAUCGCCCAAAAACGAGGAGGAGGAGGAAGAGGAGCCGAUGUAUCGCAUCAUAGAUUCCCUGGAUGACGAUCACGCUCAAGAGCAGCCGAUGACGGCGGAGGACGGGUCGAAAGAGGAGACCCCUCCGGGAGGAGAGUCAUCGAAAGAAGACGACCCGGCGGUGGAAGAGGCCGAGGAGGCGGUCGUGGAAGAGGAGACCGUGUACCACGUCAUCGAUGAUUUAGAGUCCGGUGAUGAGCCGCCUGCCGCAGGAGGGUCCGAGGGUACGGAAACGCCCAGCGCCGUUAAAUCCCAGAGCGCAACGGACGCCGUUGAAUCAAAGUCGCCCGAAAAGGACGACGCGUCGAGCACCUUGGUGAGCCUGGACGAGGUGAGCGAGGAGGAGGAGAAUUACCCGGACGACGCGGCCGAGGAGGAGGAACUGAGGAGGAGGCAAGCCGCCGCCAAGGAGAAGCAGGUCGCCGAGAAGCGAGGAGCGAGGAGGACGAGGGAGAGGGAGGAAAGGAGGACACGGGACACGGAGCAGAGGGAGCGAAGGAGCCGAAGCAGCAGCAGCACCAGCAGCAGAGGAGGAGGAGGAGGAGGAGGAGGAUCGAGGAGGAAGGAGAGGGGGAGGGAAAAGGAGAAGGAGGAGACGGUGGCGGUAGAUCCCAAAGAGAUGGUGACUCUGGAUGAGGUGGGGGCGGAUGACGUUGCGGAGGAAGGAGCGCCGGGCGGCGAGGAGUGGGAUGGAGAGAUCACGGAGGGAGAGCUGCAGGCACUCGUCACUCUGGAUGAGUUCAUAGGAGACGAGGAAGAGGAGGAGGUGGAGCCCCGCCCACCCAGCCGGGAGGAGGACUUCUUGAACCCAGAGACGCUGGUGACUUUGGACGAAGCCGGCGACGAUGAGGAAGAGAAGCCGCACGAAGAGCACGCUGAGAAAACCCCGAGAUCUAACAAACGCAAAAACGACGACGACGACGACGCAGGUACGCGUUAUUAUAUCAAGAAUACUUGCACGUUGCAGAUAAAUCAAUCACAUCUAAGGUGA
Molecule: long non-coding RNA, 5338 nt
Filed under: Cyclopterus lumpus (lumpfish)
Lineage: Eukaryota; Metazoa; Chordata; Actinopteri; Perciformes; Cyclopteridae
Description: lncRNA (ENSCLMG00005018830.1)
Source: RNAcentral